ACUGUCAUCUCAUUGAUCAUCGAUUUACUCUAAUAGAGAUGGACCGGUCUUUGGUUGAGGGUAUACAAGUAGCUGCACUACCCUGCUAGAACCUCCAAACAAGUGCUGCAAUAAACACAGAAAUGCAGAUGGUAUUUAUAC
RNAcentral lists this small RNA (141 nucleotides) under Sorex araneus (European shrew). RNAcentral's name for it is "7SK RNA (ENSSARG00000019980.1)". The record is from RNAcentral. Lineage: Eukaryota; Metazoa; Chordata; Mammalia; Eulipotyphla; Soricidae.